UUGUGUAAAAAAAACUAGGAUAUUCUAUAUACGCCCUAGUCAAAACACGUCAAUACUUUGAUAGUAAAGCGCUUAAGCUGAUAUAUUUUAGCAUCUUUCACACUCACUUUCAAUACUGUGUGGAAUCCUGGGGUUUCACCUAUCAAAGCUACAAAAUUGGUCCCUAGGGUUUUUAGACCGGAAAAUACGGCACUUUAAAGCAUUUGUUGCUUACGCUAGAAAGUUAAAUGAACCCUGCCAUCAGUGUUCACUCUCUUCGGAGCAAUAACUUCCCUGUCAAUCAUGUUCAGGAACCGACAGUUGGAGCCAAGUCAUUAAAAUCCAUAACAGGCAGGUGGUAAUUUAACAAUAAAAAGGCAUUCGUACCCUCCUCCCUGGAAAUUAUUUUGCGUGCCUAAUUUUUUUCCGUUUCCCCAGAUCUACAGAAGUGCUCUUUAUGGCUCUGUGUCCCUCUACCCUGUCAUGGUCGCAAGCGAAGCCUGCACCGCAAUUGCCAUCACCAUCACCAUCGUCUGAAGGUAUGUAUACACCACUUGACUACAGCCAUAGAGGAGUGUGCUCAAAUAUCAAAGGGCUAAAUGCCAGCGUGCAGCUCUUUUAAAUUGAACAAUAUUCCAAAGCAUGUGUAUUUCAGGCCAGAAAGAAGUUCUGCACUUCAGCGGUCUACGGUGGUGUUGGUUGACUUUCUGCGGAGCUGUAACUUCCUUGUGAAUCGUGCUAGAGCAGUGCCAUUUGAAGCCAAAUCAGUAACAAUCAUAACAUACAAACAGCUGGGCUCUGUCUGGCUAUGCAUCCCUCUGUCCUUUCGUGGUCGCAAGCGAGGCCUGCAGUACAAUUGCCAUCAACAUCGUCUGAAAUGAGUUCUUCCACAAGAUCCAAGCUGCUAAAAAAGUUGUCAGCUGACACUUUGAAACCUUCAUCGGAUGGCACUUCACUGCACAUGCUGAGGACAGUGUCGCCUCCAAGCCCAUAUGUGUAUUCUUGAUUGGACUGUCCCUGGUAAACUUUAAACUGGUAAAAAAAUGCCAGUCAUACCGCAAAACUGCCGUAAAGUUCAUGGGCAAGGGUGUUAGCGAACUUUUACGCCGGUUAACAAAACCACCGAUACAUGUAACCAAAUCCGAGACAAAGUUUCGAUUUGCUUCCACCGAUCACCGGACUCCUGGCCUCCCCGCCAGCC
Ixodes scapularis (black-legged tick) is the source of this 1180-nucleotide long non-coding RNA. RefSeq lists it as uncharacterized. The record is from RefSeq and is a predicted model, not a curated record. NCBI's taxonomy places the organism in Eukaryota, Metazoa, Arthropoda, Arachnida, Ixodida, Ixodidae. The transcript is spliced from 3 exons.